Stylophora pistillata is the source of this 459-nucleotide long non-coding RNA. NCBI's taxonomy places the organism in Eukaryota, Metazoa, Cnidaria, Anthozoa, Scleractinia, Pocilloporidae. The record is from RefSeq and is a predicted model, not a curated record.
CUUUCAAGUGGUCCCAUUGAAGGCUCCAUGGGGCUCUUCUGUUGAAAUAUUCCCUAAUAAUUUACAGACGUGCCAAAUUUAGAGUUCAAGAUUUCCGUAAGGAUCUUCGUUUCCAUAGCGUGUCUCGUGAACAUAAUCUUUGUACACAAAGGUCAAUCGAUUCCUUUUACCAUUUGUCCGACAGUGGAAGAUGGAAUCCAGCCAAGUCUGAUCGUUAGUGGGGGAUAAAUGCAAGUUAUUUUCCGAGCUUUCUGCUUUUCUUUGCAGUCCUUGUUCAAAAGAUAACGCCGAGAUUAUUUUCACUGCACCGGUGAGUUAAUACCUCGGCCGUUUUAGCAAAAUCAGUCAAGUUUGCCUUCAGACAAGUAUCAGGGCCGAAUCUUUGGAACAAAAGCAAGCGAGGGAAUCAAAUGAACCGAUGCAGCGAUCAUAGAUUGACUAUCGAACGCUUUGACUUAG